This 77-nucleotide microRNA precursor is filed under the name Picea abies (Norway spruce). Its description in RNAcentral is "miR11483 stem-loop (pab-MIR11483)". Lineage: Eukaryota; Viridiplantae; Streptophyta; Pinopsida; Pinales; Pinaceae. The record is from miRBase by way of RNAcentral.
AUGGGAUAACCUGAUCGACUUGCCAUAAACCAUACUCAACGAGUAUGGUUUCUGGCAAGUCGGUCAGGUUUUCCCAU